Non-coding RNA from Epinephelus lanceolatus (giant grouper), 74 nucleotides. The record is from the annotation of a RefSeq genome assembly. Lineage: Eukaryota; Metazoa; Chordata; Actinopteri; Perciformes; Serranidae.
UGCCGGUUAACUCAGUUGGUUAGAGCGUGGUGCUAAUAACGCCAAGGUCGCGGGUUCGAGCCCCGUACGGGCCA